This 79-nucleotide small nucleolar RNA is filed under the name Erythranthe guttata (spotted monkey flower). Its description in RNAcentral is "Mimulus guttatus (spotted monkey flower) Small nucleolar RNA Z102/R77". It matches the Rfam family "Small nucleolar RNA Z102/R77". Rfam says of the family: Z102 and R77 and are members of the C/D class of snoRNA which contain the C (UGAUGA) and D (CUGA) box motifs. Most of the members of the box C/D family function in directing site-specific 2'-O-methylation of substrate RNAs. The record is from Rfam by way of RNAcentral. Lineage: Eukaryota; Viridiplantae; Streptophyta; Magnoliopsida; Lamiales; Phrymaceae.
GAAUGAGAUGAUGACUUCAAUCAAAUUUGAUAGCCGAUAUGAUGGCAAUUUAUCAUGUAUUAGCUCUAGCUGAUCAUUC